This 254-nucleotide ribosomal RNA is filed under the name uncultured bacterium. RNAcentral describes it as "partial 16S ribosomal RNA". It matches the Rfam family "Bacterial small subunit ribosomal RNA", at positions 524 to 776 of the family's 1533-position model. The record is from RNAcentral.
UACGUAGGGGGCAAGCGUUGUCCGGAAUCAUUGGGCGUAAAGAGCGUGUAGGCGGCUCGGUAAGUCCGCUCUGAAAGCCCGGGGGCUCAACCCCGGGAGGCGGGCGGAUACUGUCGGGCUAGAGUCCGGAAGAGGCGAGUGGAAUUCCUGGUGUAGCGGUGAAAUGCGCAGAUAUCAGGAGGAACACCAAUGGCGAAGGCAGCCCGCUGGGACGGUACUGACGCUGAGACGCGAAAGCGUGGGGAGCAAACAGG